AGCGAACGCUGGCGGCAGGCCUAACACAUGCAAGUCGAACGAACCCUUCGGAGUUAGUGGCGGACGGGUGAGUAACACGUGGGAACGUGCCCUUUGGUUCGGAAUAACUCAGGGAAAGGUGUGCUAAUACCGAAUGUGCCCUUCGGGCGAAAGAUUUAUCGCCAUUAGAGGGGCCCGCGUCUGAUUAGCUAGUUGGUGAGGUAACAGCUCACCAAGGCGACGAUCAAUAGCUGGUCUGAGAGGAUGACCAGCCACACUGGGACUGAGACACGGCCCCGACUCCUCCGGGAGGGCGGAGUGGGGAAUCUUGCGACAUGGGCGAAAGGCUGACGCCGCCAUGCCGGGUGAAUGAUGAAAGUCUUAGGAUUGUAAAAUUCUUUUAACGGGGAAGAUAAUGACGGUACCCGGAGAAGAAGCCCCGGCUAACUUCGUG
Molecule: ribosomal RNA, 433 nt
Filed under: uncultured bacterium
Lineage: Bacteria
Description: partial 16S ribosomal RNA
Rfam family: Bacterial small subunit ribosomal RNA
Source: RNAcentral